GCCUCUCCGGUUGUGGGUCAUCAGCCGGGCCUCGGCAGGAGCCGAGGUGACAUCGUCGGGAGACGCUGGAGCGGAGGGCCACGGGCAGUACCGACCAGAGAAGGGAUGGGAGGGGGGUCCCGCUGCUCGAAGCAGACCCACGGCGUGACAUCGCAUAAUGGAUCGGAUUUGCGCUGGCAGGAGGAAGCUGCGAAUGCCUUGAAAUCCCCGCGGCGGCUCCUACCCGGGUACCGGCGGUCGGGGCUGUGCCCGGGCAGCCGCCGCCGUUACAGCUUUGUCCUUCGAACCAACCCACAGCUCGCUGAGUCCGGAAAGAAAAAAAAAAAAAAAAGAAAAAAAGAAAAAAACUCCUUUUAAAAACGAUUUUGUCCAUCUACUGACACCGCUGCUGCACCGUGGCUACGGGAUUCCCAUGUCGAGCCGUUGUUGCGUUUACUAAACGUGAAAUUCCCCUCAUUUAGUUUUUCUGUCCCUAAAAGAGUUGUACCGCGUCGUGUUCCCCUUGGAAACUUAACGAACGAGCGCUUUGGUAAUUAACUCACACCAUUAAAAAGGUUUAACUUGAGCUCGUGUAAACGGUGCGUACCGGAGGCGGCACCGAAGAGCGAUCGCUGCGACAGACCUCGGGCUCUGAGACGGGAGCAAAGUCCCGAAUUCCUCUCCCAUCAGGGAGCCCAGCACAGUCAGCAAAGGUACAGGGAAGGUAAAAUUCAAACAUUUCGUUUUUCUGAGUAGCUCGCAGCCGAGGGGGAGGAAGCCCACCUCCAGCGGCGCGGAGCAGCAGCCAACCUAAUUGCCGGAUUCCAGGCACGGAGCCCAACGAGGGCAGCAGGGAAAGCCCACAAGUGCUGCCCGAGUCACCGUGCCCCGGUCACCGUCCCGAGACACCGACCGAGAUGGGAGAGCAGCUAUCAGCCGUUUCCUAGGCACUUCUCCCUAAAAAGCAAACUGGGCUUUAAGACCGAAACAUCACGCAGCGGUUUUAUACUGGGUUUGGCAGAAAUCGGCCCGAAAUAACAGAGAAGACCAAAGCGGGUGCUUCCCGGCCGCGCACUGCUCUGCUCGGAGGGGCAGAAAUCUCUUUUCCCGGCGCAAUCCCCGAGGUGAGGCGCUGGGGGUUGGAAGAUGCUCUCCCCGCAGGAAAUGGGCUCUGGGAACCCGCUCGGUUCCAGCAAGAAAGGCCCAAAAGAACCACAGCAAGGGAAGGAAGGGAUUGUGGCUGCGGCAGGGAGAAGCGCCUGGACAGCUCCAAAGGCGUUUUCCUCCGCAGGAACGCGGAGGGGUGAAAGCAGAGCUCCGGAGAGCUGCGGGAAUGCCGAGGUCCCGCCAUGGGAACGGGGAGAUUGGCACCAGCUCGCUCAAGGAAACCCUAAUAGGCUAUUUCUGGACUACUGGCUCUUAACAAAUCUAUAGCACCUGAAGUGUUAGCACUCAAUUAGUGACAAGGUUUUAAAACCCAGCGUUUACCGGCGAGGUAUAAACAGAGUCCUCGGGAGAUAGCCGGGAAUUAGGGCGGGAGGGGGCCCUGGACACCUUACCCGGCUGGCAGUUAGAGGAAAACUUUUCCAAAAGGCCCCUUUUCUCUCUCUCUAAACAGUCCGAGGUGUCGAAAGCUCGGGGGGAGGAGGUGCUCUGCGGAGCGUCUUGAGGCUUUUUUUGGUUUGUUUGUUUGCUUGUUUGUUCUCAGCUCUCUAAACAUAUACGUUAAACGAAUUUCAUUUAGCAGUCCUGGAGAGAAGCGAUGGAACGGUGUGGAAGUCAGCCCCAAUCUGAAAGGGGUUCGUGGGCACUGGGGUCAGAUCGGGGCUGUGCGGGCAUUGAGCCGCGGCACGUCGGGCUGAACCGCCUGCAUUGGUGCUCGGAGCCCGGAGUGAACAGGAGAAGGAGGCGGGGUGCCGAGCCCCGACCCGGAAAGUCCGUGAGUUGCAGCGUGUCAGUGACUUAUUCAUCAAUCAGCCGGACACAGAGCAGACCUGGCCUCUCUUUGCUCAGUGUUUGCUUUUUCACCAAUUAUUGCGGCCCUGCAGCUCUUUUUGUUGAUACAGUAGUUCUAAAAAGUGCUAAUGUUCAUUUAUCAGGGGACCGAGCCCGGGACUCCCACUAGUUGUGAUUCUUCCAAAAAUAUAAACACGCGGAGAAGGGCUAAGGCUAAAGCCCCCAUUUGUUUCUAAACUGCAGUAUUAAAAGUGAUGCAUUGUUAAAGAUAAAGCGGAGAUAACGCUGUCUGUCUCCAAUGAAUGUC
Long non-coding RNA from Lagopus leucura (white-tailed ptarmigan), 2242 nucleotides. RefSeq lists it as uncharacterized. Lineage: Eukaryota; Metazoa; Chordata; Aves; Galliformes; Phasianidae. The record is from RefSeq and is a predicted model, not a curated record. The transcript is spliced from 2 exons.